CUUUAUGUUCCGCUAGAAAUCUUUCACUUCCGUGGCUUCUGCCAUAAGAAUUGAGGCUCCCCCCCCCAGCUAUUAGCUGAUUAACGUGCUCUCACAUACCCUAUAGCAGCGACCCCUUAUGCUGAGUGCUUGGCGUGUGCGUGCGUGCGUGUGAGUGUGUGUGUGUGUGCGCUCAACAAAAGCCUUUUCUCUCUUCAUCUCUGUACUCUGGGACCGAGGCCAAGUUGUGAUUGUAAUAAUGUAAUCUCUUCUGAAUACUUGAAGUGAUGGGGAAAAAAAAAGAGAGAUUUUUGAAAAUGAAAUAGAUUAAUCUAUACAGCUAGAGGGGGAAAAUCAUGCAUUUUAAUUAGCUCCUGAGAGUAAUUUUCCUUAAAGUAGUACAAGCCAGGUGUGCAAAAGUAUUCUCCUGCCUUGAGAGUCUAGCUUGCCUUUCUGGAGUCCUUGGAAGAGAUGGUGGCAAGCGACAAGUUCCUUUGGGAUGCUUCUCUUGAAGGGCUUGAACAUAAGGCAACUGGACAGGACCUGAUUUUCUGAGGUGGAGAAAUGUUUGGUUCCCUCACGUAGAUGUUUAUGGGCUGGUUGUACGAGCCUGGUCUUUGCCUCUUUGUGCCAGGAGCGCAGCACAAAUCUCCCACCCUUGCAGGCUCUCCAGCCUCCUCUUCCAGAUCUGCAACCCUCUGCAAAGGACACAGGACUUCAGUGAAAGUGCUGCUUUACCUCACUCUGGAUUUUAUAUCCCAGCUAGCAUGUGAUGAUGAGAUAGAAAAGACUGAGACCUGCCAAAACAAAUCCUCGUUGAAAGCCUGCUUGGAGCUUUAGAAAUGAUUUGAAGAACUUAUCUGAGUUGAAUUAGCUUGCUUAAUCACAGCGACACUUUGGCUGAAGACGUUCCCUCGUCACGGAUGCGCUGCAGGCUGCGUGGUGUAAUUCGGAGACAGGGACUGGAUGAGAACAGCGAGUCCCCGUGUUCGUACCGCCGUCUGAACACCGUCAGCUUGCCAGACUGAUGCGUUUCAUCAAAGUGGACUUCUCUGUCACAAUGUAAUAGCUGACGGCGAGGUGUGAGCCUGUAGCUGCGAGCGUAUUUAGAGGAGAAAGUAAUGCAUUUGCCAUAUGGUAGAAAUCGAUGUCUGGUAAUAGAUGUUUCAUAUAUUCCAAGAACAUCAUUUGCUCCGAAUGAAAAUUCGUACUCUUUAACUCUUUUUUAGCAGGCAGCCUGCUUUUUAAGGCAGGGUCCUGGCUCAUUCUGCUUUGUGCAGGAUGGUUCUGCUUUCCCUGAGGUUUCAGUGCCUCGGCGCUGAGCGCCGCAGCCUUCCUCUGCCUGUGCCCUCCGUGGCCUCACCUUCACGUUGCCCUUCGUCCGUGGGAGCUAAAGGUGGAGAGCGCGGCUUUGCCGCAGGCUCAGAGCACUCCAAGACAGUGCCCAUUUCAUCCAGUGCUUUUUUAGAAGAAGUGGAGGAGAGACAUUACAGCAUUAUUGCAUAACUCACUACUUCAGUGGGUUUGGAGUUCCAUGUCCUGAUGUUUCAUUUCAAAAAACUCUUUAGAAAAAAACCCAAAGCUUUUAGAGUGCCCUGCUCUGUACUGUUCCAAAGAGCCAAGAAGAUGGAACUGGUAUUUAGGUCUCAUCAACCUAGCAGAAAGGGAAGUGCCAUUCUUAAAGUUGUUCAGAAAAAG
Long non-coding RNA from Anser brachyrhynchus (Pink-footed goose), 1677 nucleotides. NCBI's taxonomy places the organism in Eukaryota, Metazoa, Chordata, Aves, Anseriformes, Anatidae. The record is from Ensembl.